RNAcentral lists this ribosomal RNA (218 nucleotides) under uncultured eukaryote. RNAcentral's name for it is "partial 18S small subunit ribosomal RNA". It matches the Rfam family "Eukaryotic small subunit ribosomal RNA", at positions 1487 to 1707 of the family's 1831-position model. The record is from RNAcentral.
CCGCACGCGCGCUACACUGAAUAGAUCAGCGUGUUCUCCCUUUCUGAGAAGAACGGGUAAACCGCUGAACCCUAUUCGUGGUAGGGAUCGGGGCUUGCAAUUAUUCCCCGUGAACCAGGAAUUCCCAGUAGGCGCGAGUCAUAAGCUCGCGUCGAUUACGUCCCUGCCCUUUGUACACACCGCCCGUCGCUACUACCGAUUGAAUGGGUAAUCCCGCG